GUCCGCGUGGCCUAAUGGAUAAGGCGUCUGACUACGAAUCAGAAGUUUGCAGGUUCGAAUGCUGUCGCGGUCU
This 73-nucleotide transfer RNA is filed under the name Trichonephila inaurata madagascariensis. It matches the Rfam family "tRNA". Rfam says of the family: Transfer RNA (tRNA) molecules are approximately 80 nucleotides in length. Their secondary structure includes four short double-helical elements and three loops (D, anti-codon, and T loops). The record is from Rfam by way of RNAcentral. Lineage: Eukaryota; Metazoa; Arthropoda; Arachnida; Araneae; Nephilidae.